Cyprinus carpio (common carp) is the source of this 1285-nucleotide long non-coding RNA. RefSeq lists it as uncharacterized. The record is from RefSeq and is a predicted model, not a curated record. Lineage: Eukaryota; Metazoa; Chordata; Actinopteri; Cypriniformes; Cyprinidae. The transcript has 3 exons.
AUUGAUUUUAAAGGGGCAGGAAAUGACAUAUUUCCCCUAUGCAAAAAAAAAAAAAAAAAAGCGAUAGAUAGGCUAGAUACAUAAUCGCACGGGCGGACAGAGAGAGAGGGAGUAUUAAUAUUAUUAAUUAUACAAGUAUGUUAUAUGAUAAGUACACUGACUGAAAAAAACUUUUCCUGCAUGAGACAAUACAAUAAUAUGCCAGUCCACACACACAGGGGAUCCAUAUAGUGCCUUUCAAAAAACAAUUGCCCUGAUGAAAGCAUUUUAUUAGAUGGGCUGUAGUGAAAACAUCGGAUUCGGACAGGCCUUGAUGGCUUCCUAACCGUGAAGGCAGCAUAGCUCAGGAUUCAGACACAGCCUGGGUGUAUGCUGUCAUCGAGAAAGUGACAACCACUGAUCCCUAGAAAAUCAGUGUAAUCUCUCAAGUAAACUUGUUUGUUUUGUGGUAAAUGUUAUUUUGGCAGCCAUAGCUAAGGGCUCUUACUCGCUUUAUUCCCGGGACAUAUCUUUCCGACUUGGGACCACGGCUUCUUAGGCACUUCUCUCAUUCAGAACAGUGAAGUCAAUGGAUCCUUACAUCACAGUUUGACAAGUUAGGAGGAUACAAGCUAAUCCCCUUAAUCUGUCUAUUCUCCCGUGCAGUGCCAAAGGGGGAGAGGUGCCCGGCACAAGUAAUCCUGUAGAAAAAAACAAUAGGAUUAGACCCCAGCUCUUGGAGUGACAAUCAGAUAUCUACUGACUGAUUUGCAAAGUAGGGUCGAGUUUCUUCAAAUUAGCUUUUUUCCCCCCUCCUCUAGGGAAAAGGUGCCUUUCAUUAACUGCUGGUGGGAUUCCUUUAGGACAGAUGCUGGAGGUCCGCAUGAAAGGCAUGUAUUCUUUGGUUCCAACACACAGGUCCUGGGCUUCUCCCACAGCAGAGGCUGAGAGGUGGGGACACACCAUUGGCCUGGGCGACCGCUCCACCCCUUUACCCUCUGUCAACCCCUUUAUAAUUCAAACACUAAUGCUUUUUAAAAGUGUUUGACAGAUGGAUCAGAUUCCUUUGCUUACUGAGGAUACAUGUAGCAGAUCAAUGAGGCUAAAUGAUGAGGGCAAUGUGAGAUGCGCUGCUUGUUCUUUUCAUUUGCAUGCAGCCAUGCAACCUGUUUUUUUCUCUUUUUUUCUGCAACAUUUAAUGAGAUGAAUGUCUUUUGGACAGUUGCUACUCUUUGAUACACUUUUACAGUGGAUACAUAUAAACCUAUAGAAAAUCAAUGUUUUACCGACAGAUAUAUACUACCAU